GUAGGAGUAUAUUUGCUAGUCUUUAUAUAAACUUGAUAUGUGGGUCUUCGAUGGUUGUUUUCAGUUGACACUCUAUAGAAAUAGAUAUUCACUAAAAGUCGUAGAAUUCUAUCAGUUAAACCCCUAGUCUAUGAUGAGGAUUUUUUUAUAUUAUUUUUUUGUCGAGUUGACGGUUAAAAUUGAAAGUUGACUACUGUUAGCCCUUAGCUAGUCUAGGAUUAAAUAAUAAUUAUCAAAUACAAAGUUAAGUGCUUUGACCAACUAAGGCCUGGUUUAGUUCACCUCAAAAACUAAAAAAUUUUCAAGAUUCUCUGUCCUAUCGAAUUUUGUGGCAUAUGCAUGAAGCAUUAAAUAUAAAUGAAAACAAAAACUAAUUACACAAUUUAUCUGUAAUUUGUGAGACGAAUCUUAUCUGUACUAUAAUUGAAAUCUUCUCCAGGCAAAUUCCACCUACAAGAUCAACAACUCACAAUACAUGUCCUACAGAUUAGACGGCCCAGAUUAGAAGUAUGAUCACGACCUUACACACCCUCAGCCUCGCGUCAUCUUACCCAUGCCCACGCUCGCGUGGCUCUUAUGAUCGCAACAACCAGGGUUCGAUCCCUACUCGUUCCUCCUCCCUCCGAAAAAAGGAAAAAAAUAUUGACCUCACGUCGUCCACAAGCGGGAGGCACGGGCGGCGCCCCAAUCUCGACGCCGUCGACUCUCUCCCUCCUCCACCUCACCACUGC
This 731-nucleotide long non-coding RNA is filed under the name Sorghum bicolor (sorghum). RNAcentral describes it as "long non-coding RNA (SBIC_LNC018220)". The record is from RNAcentral. Lineage: Eukaryota; Viridiplantae; Streptophyta; Magnoliopsida; Poales; Poaceae.